GACGAACGCUGGCGGCGUGCUUAACACAUGCAAGUCGAACGGAAAGGCCCUGCUUUUGUGGGGUGCUCGAGGUGCGAACGGGUGAGUAACACGUGAGUAACCUGCCCUUGACUUUGGGAUAACUUCAGGAAACUGGGGCUAAUACCGGAUAGGAGCUCCUGCUGCAUGGUGGGGGUUGGAAAGUUUCGGCGGUUGGGGUUGGACUCGCGGCUUAUCAGCUUGUUGGUGGGGUAGUGGCUUACCAAGGCUUUGACGGGUAGCCGGCCUGAGAGGGUGACCGGCCACACUGGGACUGAGAUACGGCACAGACUCCUACGGGAGGCAGCAGUGGGGAAUAUUGCACAAUGGGCGGAAGCCUGAUGCAGCAACGCCGCGUGCGGGAUGAGGGCCUUCGGGUUGUAAACCGCUUUCGCCUGUGACGAAGCGUGAGUGACGGUAAUGGGUAAAGAAGCACCGGCUAACUACGUG
RNAcentral lists this ribosomal RNA (468 nucleotides) under uncultured bacterium. Its description in RNAcentral is "partial 16S ribosomal RNA". It matches the Rfam family "Bacterial small subunit ribosomal RNA", at positions 28 to 507 of the family's 1533-position model. The record is from RNAcentral.